AGCAGCCGCGGUAAUUCCAGCUCCAAUAGCGUAUAUUAAAGUUGUUGCAGUUAAAAAGCUCGUAGUUGAAUUUCGGGAUCAAUAUGUUGGUCGUGCCUCGGUACGUACUAGCUUAUUGGUUUCUCCUUUCUGAAGAACCAUGAUGUCAUUUAUUUGGUGUCGUGGGGAAUCAGGACUGUUACUUUGAAAAAAUUAGAGUGUUUAAAGCAGGCUCACGCUUGAAUACAUUAGCAUGGAAUAAUGAAAUAGGACGUUUGAUUCUAUUUUGUUGGUUUCUAGGAUCGACGUAAUGAUUAAUAGGGAUAGUUGGGGGCAUUAGUAUUCAAUUGUCAGAGGUGAAAUUCUUGGAUUUAUUGAAGACUAACUACUGCGAAAGCAUUUGCCAAGGAUGUUUUCAUUAAUCAAGAACGAAAGUUAGGGGAUCGAAGACGAUCAGAUACCGUCGUAGUCUUAACCAUAAACUAUGCCGACUAGGGAUCGGAUGAUGUUA
This 490-nucleotide ribosomal RNA is filed under the name uncultured Glomus. RNAcentral's name for it is "SSU rRNA". It matches the Rfam family "Eukaryotic small subunit ribosomal RNA", at positions 569 to 1065 of the family's 1831-position model. The record is from RNAcentral. Lineage: Eukaryota; Fungi; Glomeromycota; Glomeromycetes; Glomerales; Glomeraceae.